RNAcentral lists this long non-coding RNA (295 nucleotides) under Panax ginseng (ginseng). RNAcentral describes it as "long non-coding RNA (PGIN_LNC001459)". The record is from RNAcentral. Lineage: Eukaryota; Viridiplantae; Streptophyta; Magnoliopsida; Apiales; Araliaceae.
UUCAGUAUCUCUUCGAACGUAAGACGAAGGAGCUGAAGAACUAGUAAAGUCUUCAAUAAUGACUAGUCUUUUGGUACGUUCAAAACUUAUCUUGACUGUUCCAUCGGAAAAUUGCCUAACAUUUUCUAUAUUUAAUAAAUUAUUAAUUAUAGGUUGUUGAGGUAUUUCAUUAGGUAAAGUCCACUGACUAGGGAGCGUAAUAUCUUUCCAAAGAAUUGUUCUUGGGACUUGAAUAUUAGCAUCAGUAGUAGAACUUUGAAUUAACACUGUUAAAUCUUUAGGACUUUUAUUUAAA